GCGCCCGUAGUUCAGCUGGAUAGAAUAUCGGCUUCCGACGCCGACGGUCAGAGGUUCGAAUCCUCUCGGGCGCGCCA
Molecule: transfer RNA, 77 nt
Filed under: Exiguobacterium aestuarii
Lineage: Bacteria; Bacillati; Bacillota; Bacilli; Caryophanales
Also listed under: 4 other names
Description: tRNA-Arg
Rfam family: tRNA
About the family: Transfer RNA (tRNA) molecules are approximately 80 nucleotides in length.
Source: RNAcentral